This is a long non-coding RNA of Macaca fascicularis (crab-eating macaque), 1739 nucleotides long. The record is from Ensembl. Lineage: Eukaryota; Metazoa; Chordata; Mammalia; Primates; Cercopithecidae.
ACCUGCACCCUGGGCGCAGCUGAGAUCAGAGCAAGACAUUCAGACGGACUAGGCUAAAGGUGUCCCAUGGCUAGAAAAAAGAGAAAAUCAUUGGUUCCCCAGCAGAGCUCUGCAGACAGGACACUGAUAGGCUGCCCCUUCCCGGUGUCCAGUGGCACCCAUUGGGCAGAGGCCAUCUUUCACCACUCCUAGGAGGCACCCAGAGGCCACGUGACCCAGGCAGGAACACCAUCUCCCCUGGGCCCCUGCCCUCUGUCUCAGGAGGCUGCAUCCUAACACUUGGCAAAGGCUGGGCAUGGCCUGUGAGGUCAGCAGAAAUUACCAGCCAGUGGGAGGUGGGCAGAGGCACUGGGCUACUUCCCAUCCUAGCCCAUAAAAACCUCCAUGGGCUCUGAGCUUCCCCCUUCCACAGUGACUUUGGAAAUCAUAGGCUAAGAUGGCACCACAAGAGCCAAGGCCCUGAAGUCCCUCUUAGAGAAGUACUGCCCACUGAUCAGAUAAAUCCCAUUAUGAAUCUUAGGUAAGCAAGAUACAAACUUCCAUUGCAUUUGAACCUGUAUGUUUGGGCUUUGUGAUAUCAGCAAGCUUUGCCCUCAUACAGGUAUAUACAGUACAGUUGGCCCUCCACACCCACGGGUCCUACGUCUGUGCAUUCAACCAACUACAGAUCAAAAAUACAAUAUUCACAGGAUGUGAAACCCGUGGAUAUGAAAGGCUGGCUUUUCCUAUUGGCAGGUUCUGCAGAGCCAACUUCGGGACUUGGGCAUCCAUGGAUUUUGGUAUCCAUAGGGGUCCUGGAACCAAUCCCCCAGAUACUGAGGAGUGACUAUGAAAUAUAUAGUACAUAUGUUUUAAAAAAGAAAACACAUAGUACAUAUAAUUAACAUAGGUAACAACUAGCCUGAUUUUACAGAUGAGAAAACUGAUGCAUAGAGAAGGUGGAGAAUUUGUCUGAGGUUAGUAAGUGGAGGAGUCAGGAUUUGAACCCUGGGCCUGGCUCCAGAGGUUCCAGUCUUAAGUGCUCCACCUCAAGGCUGAACCAGCAGGCCAAGAAUACAGAGGUGCAGGCCAGCUGCUCCAGGCAGCUCCUCCUGCCCACCUAGGCCUCCUCAGGCCUUUUGCCUGGAUGCAGUGAGGGUCGCACCCUGCACCCCUGCCUCCUCGCCUUCCCAGGCGUCACCCUGAACCCUCCCCAUUCUGACCCUCACCUCUUGGAUGGACCCAGCCAAUAGGCUUCAGGGGUUUUUCCCUCUCCCACUCCUCACACGCACUUGGCACAACCUCUGCUCUGGUGACCCCAAGUGUCUACCUUCCCUGGGUCCACCCCCAAUCUGUUUUGAGAGAAAGCUGCCUCUGGGCCAGUGGGAUCUACCUCCUGUCCACAGGCCCUAUGUCAACCAGAGCUCUUUCAAUGACAAGUGACAGAAACCCAACUGGCUUAGAGGAGGGAAAUGUUUAUUGGCUCAUGUGACUUAAGAAGUCCAAGGUCCACAGGCCUCGAGCCAGCUCAGCCCCAGGUGCCCAGAUGGCAUCAGGAAGCUCUUGUCUCUGGACCUCUUGGCUCUGCUCUCUGUGCUGGUUUUGUUCUCAGGCAGGAUGGUUCCCUCAGGGUAAUAAGUUGCUUCCAACAGCUCCUGGCAGCCCACACUCAUUCCGCCAGCUCUGCUGCCCCAAUGUGGUCGCUGUCUUCUUGCCAGCGAUCCUGUCAAAACCCUUUCCUGAUGGUCCCACUUGAAGUC